GACGAACGCUGGCGGCGUGCUUAACACAUGCAAGUCGAACGUGAUUUUUGUGGAAAUUCUUUCGGGAAUGGACAUGAAAUGAAAGUGGCGAACGGGUGAGUAACACGUGAGCAACCUACCUUACACAGGGGGAUAGCCGUUGGAAACGACGAUUAAUACCGCAUGAGACCACAGAAUCGCAUGAUAUAGGGGUCAAAGAUUUAUCGGUGUAAGAAGGGCUCGCGUCUGAUUAGCUAGUUGGAAGGGUAAAGGCCUACCAAGGCGACGAUCAGUAGCCGGUCUGAGAGGAUGAACGGCCACAUUGGAACUGAGACACGGUCCAAACUCCCACGGGAGGCAGCAGUGGGGAAUAUUGCACAAUGGGGGGAACCCUGAUGCAGCGACGCCGCGUGAGCGAAGAAGGUUUUCGAAUCGUAAAGCUCUGUCCUAUGAGAAGAUAAUGACGGUAUCAUAGGAGGAAGCCCCGGCUAAAUACGUG
This 478-nucleotide ribosomal RNA is filed under the name uncultured bacterium. RNAcentral describes it as "partial 16S ribosomal RNA". It matches the Rfam family "Bacterial small subunit ribosomal RNA", at positions 28 to 507 of the family's 1533-position model. The record is from RNAcentral.